GUAAAAGUUGCUUUGAAAAAAGAAGUGAAAUUUACUAAGCACUGUAAUAUAUUAACAUUUAAUUUGUCAGAGGUGACAUAACUUCCUUCUAUUUCAUGUGUAUUACUUUCACAUAGUAAGUCAUUAAGAGAUCAAAAUGUCUAUAUUUAAUAAUUUUAAAUACUUUUAAUAUUUUAGUAAUAUUUUAAUGAUUUUAUAAUAAUCAUUUGUAAUAUCAACAUGAAAAGUGUUUUCUUAGAAAAUAUUCAAAUAGUGUGGCGCAUGGUUGUAGCAUGUUUCAGCACUUGGUCCAGACGUUCUGACUUGGUGAGCUCCCUUGUGUCUUCCACAGGAUAAUGGCAAGAAAUCAGACCAUGAUCACAGAGUUCAUCCUACUGGGUUUUCCCCUUGGCCCAAGGACUCAUGAGUAAGAAUUUCAAGAGAAUGAGCUCAUAAGGAGUAGUACCUGCAGGAAGUAUACCAUGUGCUGCAGAAUGAAGAGAAAUCUUGUUGCCUUACAAUGCCAAGCAAAUACACGUAACACCUGUCUUGGGAAUAUUGAAAGAACAAAAUGAAUAAACAUGGGAGAUGCACUCAAUAGUUCAUCUGCUGAUAGAAACAACUCCUUCAUCAAGUCCAGGGGAGCCCUGACUGAGUUUGACCUCCCAGUGAGGCCCCUUAGAGAGGCGUGUCAGUCCCAGCCUGUACCUUCUCACCUCUCUGUGAGGCUUCUUCUAAGACUAAGUUUGAUGAAAAGGCCACAGAUUGCACUUGUGGACUUUGUUUUCUGCAGUCACUGCUUGCUUUGCCAUUUGACCAAUGAACAGAGAAAGGUAUCCAUGAAGUUUUAUACCUCCUUCUGGCUACUGAAGGUCUCUAAUGUGCAGCAAGAGUGGCACUCACAGAAGUUCUUAUCUCAGGUAUCUGCAUCAUUAUUAUGUUUGCUUCGGGCUUUUUCAAAGAGAAAUAAAAAUUCCUAAAAGGCAAUAUAUAGGAGUGAAAACAACACUUUGAGAUCCGAUCAUUUUUAACACCCCUUGUCUCAACUGUUGAGGAACAGUGCUUUUUUUUUUCUCUUCGUACUAUUUUUGAACUCUUUACUAGUGUAGGGUUAACUUUAUAAAGUUAACUUAAAAUACAAAUGGGUAUUGAGGAGGGAGGAGGAAGAAGGGUGAGAGUAUGGGUAGGUUGCAGGGUAGGGUGGAAAAUAUCACUAUGUUCCUGAAUCUGUAUAUAUGAAAUUUGUAUACCUUAAAUGAAAUUUUUAAAAAUCCAACUUUUAAGUUGUAGAAUCCAAAAUGUAAAACCAUACCAAUCAAAGAACAACAAGUGUUUUCACCUUAUCCAAUACUGUUCUUUUGACCUUCCUUGGUUUCACAAUAGCUGAUAAAAACAUGAAUAUGUAAAUAGUCACCCCUUUAGAGUUGUUUCAUUAUAACCUUGAAUGGGAAACAUUAUACGUAUAGUCAAUAUCCAGGGUUACAUACAGUCAGGGUGUAGAUUAUAUUUGAUGAAAAGUUGUUUCACUAAGAAUUCUACUUGUGUCCAUAUUUGUUCCUUUCUGUCAUAAAUAGUUUAUUCUAGCCUAUUCCUUUCUACCAUAAAUUUCAUUCAAAAACAUAUAAAACUAUAAUUUCAGAUUGUUUUGUUAUAAACAAUUCAAAUCAUUUUUGAAAAGGAAGCUAAUGAUUUACAUUUGUGAUUGCUGAAGCAUCCAAGUGCCUCCUGUCCUAUAUCCCUGGCUGGGUGCAACACAGAGUGUGCAUCACAGGUGACAGCCAUGGAGGCUUGUCCCUUGUGCUUUUGCAGGAUUUGAUCGCAGGCUAAGAUGGGCUUCCCUGGCCACCAGCCUGGCACUCACCUUGUGGCCUUUCUCCUUAUGCCCUGAUCUCCACGUCACCCCCAGCAGAUAUCCUGUCUCAUCAAAAUACUAUCUUGCAAAGAAAUUUAGUAUUUCUGACUUUCUACACCUAUUUUAACUUGAAUUAAACAGAAGAUAUGUUACAGAUAUGAAAAUGUAAAGACAUUAAAAUGUUUGUGUGAUAAAGUUCAGUUUCUUAGAUUUGUCCAAUAUUGAACUUUGUUGUACUUAUUCACAAUUUGGUGGAUGUCACAAUAGUUUUCAACCUUGUUUAACGCAUUAUGCCCCAUCAUCCUAUGUAUAGCACACCAGUAAAACAAAUUGAGCAAUAAAUGUACCACUUAUGAUAUCUUUGAGCUAAAU
Long non-coding RNA from Oryctolagus cuniculus (rabbit), 2203 nucleotides. The record is from Ensembl. Lineage: Eukaryota; Metazoa; Chordata; Mammalia; Lagomorpha; Leporidae.